This 279-nucleotide unclassified non-coding RNA is filed under the name plant metagenome. RNAcentral describes it as "partial contains small subunit ribosomal RNA, internal transcribed spacer 1, and 5.8S ribosomal RNA". The record is from RNAcentral.
UCUCCGUAGGUGAACCUGCGGAGGGAUCAUUACUGAAUCGCCCCUCAAGCCUUCAUCCCUUCAAACCUCUUUCCCUAAAACUGUGCUUGGGCGUCGCUCUCGCGCCGUCGCUCCUAUGCAUCAAUCUGGCUUUGGCUGAUCCACACAAAAAGAUUAAAAACUUUCAACACAGGAUCUCUUGGCCCUCGUAUCAAAGAAAAACGCAACAGAUCGGAAGAGCACACGUCUUGACUCCAGUCACCAUGCAUCAGCUCGUAUGACGUCUGCUGCGUAAACGAA